CAGAAUCCACACAGCAAAAGUCGCUCUUGAUCAGAGUAGGACUAUAAACAUGUAGUUCCAUUGGCCUGGAACUAGAUUCUGAUAGUGAAUCAGUCCAUCUGAUAGUGCAUGGACCACGCGGAGUCACUAGUGUCGCUGUGAGCACAAUGACUCAAUCCCAUCUUGUCGCUUCCUGCCUUGAUGCGGACUACCUUGCUUGGG
RNAcentral lists this long non-coding RNA (201 nucleotides) under Zostera marina. RNAcentral's name for it is "long non-coding RNA (ZMAR_LNC004483)". Lineage: Eukaryota; Viridiplantae; Streptophyta; Magnoliopsida; Alismatales; Zosteraceae. The record is from RNAcentral.